Molecule: ribosomal RNA, 550 nt
Filed under: uncultured bacterium
Lineage: Bacteria
Description: partial 16S ribosomal RNA
Rfam family: Bacterial small subunit ribosomal RNA
Source: RNAcentral
UGGGGAAUAUUGCACAAUGGGCGAAAGCCUGAUGCAGCAACGCCGCGUGAGUGAUGAAGGCCUUCGGGUUGUAAAGCUCUGUCUUUUGGGACGAUAAUGACGGUACCAAAGGAGGAAGCCACGGCUAACUACGUGCCAGCAGCCGCGGUAAUACGUAGGUGGCAAGCGUUGUCCGGAUUUACUGGGCGUAAAGGAUGCGUAGGCGGAUUUUUAAGUGAGAUGUGAAAUACCCGGGCUUAACUUGGGUGCUGCAUUUCAAACUGGGAAUCUAGAGUGCGGGAGAGGAGAAUGGAAUUCCUAGUGUAGCGGUGAAUGCGUAGAGAUUAGGAAGAACACCAGUGGCGAAGGCGAUUCUCUGGACCGUAACUGACGCUGAGGCAUGAAAGCGUGGGUAGCAAACAGGAUUAGAUACCCUGGUAGUCCACGCCGUAAACGAUGAGUACUAGGUGUAGGAGGUAUCGACCCCUUCUGUGCCGCAGUUAACACAAUCAAGUACUCCGCCUGGGAAGUACGAUCGCAAGAUUAAAACUCAAAUGAAUUGACGGGGGUC